This 250-nucleotide ribosomal RNA is filed under the name uncultured bacterium. Its description in RNAcentral is "partial 16S ribosomal RNA". It matches the Rfam family "Bacterial small subunit ribosomal RNA", at positions 779 to 1029 of the family's 1533-position model. The record is from RNAcentral.
UAGAUACCCUGGUAGUCCACGCAGUAAACGAUGAUUACUCGGAGUAUGCGAUAUAUGGUAUGCUCCCAAGGGAAACCGAUAAGUAAUCCACCUGGGGAGUACGCCGGCAACGGUGAAACUCAAAGGAAUUGACGGGGGCCCGCACAAGCGGAGGAACAUGUGGUUUAAUUCGAUGAUACGCGAGGAACCUUACCCGGGAUUGAAAUGUACAUGACGGUUGGGCGAGAGCCUGACUUCCCUUCGGGGCAUG